Molecule: long non-coding RNA, 108 nt
Organism: Populus euphratica (Euphrates poplar)
Lineage: Eukaryota; Viridiplantae; Streptophyta; Magnoliopsida; Malpighiales; Salicaceae
Exons: 3
Source: RefSeq, a predicted model, not a curated record
AUAUUUUGUUUCAAGAAUCAUAACCCUUUUUGCAUAAGAAGAUAUACAAAUAUAAACAAGCUCCUAGUUGUUGUCCAUGAUAUAUAAAGGAAGUAAGAAUUAGGAACA